This 613-nucleotide ribosomal RNA is filed under the name Enterobacter cloacae. RNAcentral's name for it is "bacterial SSU rRNA". It matches the Rfam family "Bacterial small subunit ribosomal RNA", at positions 558 to 1172 of the family's 1533-position model. The record is from RNAcentral. Lineage: Bacteria; Pseudomonadati; Pseudomonadota; Gammaproteobacteria; Enterobacterales; Enterobacteriaceae.
GCGUAAGCGCACGCAGGCGGUCUGUCAAGUCGGAUGUGAAAUCCCCGGGCUCAACCUGGGAACUGCAUUCGAAACUGGCAGGCUAGAGUCUUGUAGAGGGGGGUAGAAUUCCAGGUGUAGCGGUGAAAUGCGUAGAGAUCUGGAGGAAUACCGGUGGCGAAGGCGGCCCCCUGGACAAAGACUGACGCUCAGGUGCGAAAGCGUGGGGAGCAAACAGGAUUAGAUACCCUGGUAGUCCACGCCGUAAACGAUGUCGAUUUGGAGGUUGUGCCCUUGAGGCGUGGCUUCCGGAGCUAACGCGUUAAAUCGACCGCCUGGGGAGUACGGCCGCAAGGUUAAAACUCAAAUGAAUUGACGGGGGCCCGCACAAGCGGUGGAGCAUGUGGUUUAAUUCGAUGCAACGCGAAGAACCUUACCUGGUCUUGACAUCCACAGAACUUACCAGAGAUGCAUUGGUGCCUUCGGGAACUGUGAGACAGGUGCUGCAUGGCUGUCGUCAGCUCGUGUUGUGAAAUGUUGGGUUAAGUCCCGCAACGAGCGCAACCCUUAUCCUUUGUUGCCAGCGGUUAGGCCGGGAACUCAAAGGAGACUGCCAGUGAUAAACUGGAGGAAG